This 761-nucleotide ribosomal RNA is filed under the name uncultured bacterium. Its description in RNAcentral is "bacterial SSU rRNA". It matches the Rfam family "Bacterial small subunit ribosomal RNA", at positions 8 to 796 of the family's 1533-position model. The record is from RNAcentral.
AGAGUUUGAUCCUGGCUCAGCCUGAACGCUGGCGGCGUGGCUAAGACAUGCAAGUCGUACGGAUGUAGCAAUACAUCAGUGGCGAACGGGUGAGUAAUGAAUCGCUAAUGUGCCCCGGACUCUGGGAUAGCUGCCUGAAAGGGCAGGUAAUACCAGAUGAUAUAACCUAAUCGCAUGAUUGGGUUCUCAAAGGUCCGCCGGUCUGGGAGCAGGCGAUUUCGUAUCAGCUAGUUGGUGAGGUAACGGCUCACCAAGGCGACGACGCGUAGCCGGACUGAGAGGUUGGCCGGCCACAUUGGGACUGAGACACUGCCCAGACUCCUACGGGGGGCUGCAGUAACGAAUCUUCCGCAAUGCACGAAAGUGUGACGGAGCGACGCCGCGUGUGGGAUGAAGUUCUUCGGAAUGUAAACCACUGUCAGGGGUUAGAAAGUUCUGAUCAACCCCAGAGGAAGGCACGGCUAACUCUGUGCCAGCAGCCGCGGUAAGACAGAGGUGCCAAGCGUUAGGCGGAAUCACUGGGCUUAAAGCGUGUGUAGGCGGACUCGUAAGUACCUUGUGAAAUCCCACGGCUUAACCGUGGAACUGCUGGGUAUACUGCGGGUCUUGAGCCACCUAGGGGCGAGCGGAACAAAUGGUGGAGCGGUGAAAUGCGUAGAUAUCAUUUGGAACGCCAAUGGUGAAAACAGCUCGCUGGGGGUGUGCUGACGCUGAGACACGAAAGCCAGGGGAGCAAACGGGAUUAGAUACCCUAGUAGUCC